Molecule: long non-coding RNA, 878 nt
Organism: Dermacentor albipictus
Lineage: Eukaryota; Metazoa; Arthropoda; Arachnida; Ixodida; Ixodidae
Source: RefSeq, a predicted model, not a curated record
CUGCCGGCUCACGUAGGUUCGUUCGCGUGGUCUUGUUACGCCUCGCUGGGUCGUGUUCACUCAUGCCGUCCUUGCGCGGCGUCAUUGUCGGCGAGUCAGGUUAAAUUCUUUAAUAGGUCGCGCCUGCGCCUAAUUGAGUCUAUUAAAGACUGCACAUUCAGUUUUGCUGGCUACAAUUCAGUGUGGCUGGCGUGGGCUGUCUCCACGAUGCGCUUCGAGCGUGUCGAUUUCGCCGUUCUUUAUGUUGGCGGAAAUGACCGUGAAAGCAACAUGGAUCUACAAGAAAUAUGCAACAACAUCAAGGCCUUGAUUGUUCAGCGAGACGGCGCCCGUCGUGCUGGUUUUCAAGGUGCUCUCUCGCUGGCUAGAAGAUGCUGAUGCGGAACAGAAAAUGCAAAAACGUCGCUUGCUCCACCGCAAAUUGACGGCUACGCUGAAGCGCAUGCCGUGUCUGCGGAAUUUGAACCCCGAGGCACGUUCAUACUGAAGACGGAGCGGCUAAACCGGGCAAAGCUCUUGGCCAGGCGUAUAAAAGCAGGCGUUAAACGAGGCAGCAAGCCCGAUCGCUCGCGGACCACUUUUUUCCUGCCCGCCAGAGCUGUCCGCUUUGCUGCAGCCAAUUGGAACACCAGACGACGCUGGCGUGUGCGCGAUAAGGAUGGACGACCGGUGCUACGAGACGGCGACAAGUGCACCACAAAAACCUUUCCAGAGUUCCUUGGAAAAUCCUCCCAUGCACCUGCCAUGUACAUUGCCCCCGCCCCCUCCUCGAUGUGGCAUGCAAGAUGGCAGCAGCAGCUGUGGAACAGUUGAAGAGGGGAAGAAAGGUCCACAUUAUAAUAGGUUGUAUGUAAAUAAAACUGAUCGAACACAACUGA